UAAAAUUCUAACUUCUCCCACAUCUUAACACUAGUUACGAAUUAAGAUAACCAUAAAUAAUCGUGUACCUGGGGAGUAUUCCGAAGAUUUUACACAAGGAUAUCUAUAGAGAUAAAUUUUUUAACGAAAUAAUAUUUUACCACAUACAAUUUGAUAGUAGUGAUAAAAAUGAAUGCGUACCCUUUGAGAAUAUUUUGGAAGUCACAGUCGAAAGGGAUUCGUGAAGAUUGUAAUUGAUCGAGGGAGUAAUUAACUAAACGCGUUUAAUUGCCAAAUCCAAACUAAUGGCUUUAAGCGGAACAUUUAAAAAUUAAUUUUAUCGGUACUCGUUUUCAGUUCCCAAAUUGCUCUAGAUUUGAAUUAAGUUUCAAAAUGGCGGAAGCAGGAAGCACGAUACCACGUGACCCUAGAAGUACCAACAUCAACCGCUGCAGUUCGCAUUUUUCAACUGUAAUCUGUCAUGAGCAUUCUCCCGACUCAUCUCUGUUUGAAUGUAGAACUUAAUCGCUAGGUCUUGCGCUCGCCGAUUUCCUUAUUGUUACAUCUAGAAACCGAAGUUGGUCGUUACUGCAACAUUUCUUCAAAAGGGUCGUACCCGUUGAAGAAAGUCCCUCGCAGCCAUCGUUAAAGGAUAAUCUAGGACAAUGAAUUUUGGAGGGAUUUCGCCUCAAGAUGGCGGCGAGUGAUGUUUUGCUUGGUUGUAUAUCAGCUUGCCGGUACGAAUCGUGAACGAUUUUGAGCGUCGGGUGUCAGCUCGGGAGAAUACAUGGUGCAUGGUCGCACGAGGGGACGCACGUUGGGCGCAAAAAUAAGAGAAUAAUCCUUUCGGCAGAAAUUCACAAGGCCGCGAGGAACGCCCGAGAUGUCGAAGGGCGACGAGAAUGUCGACACCGGGGACACGGGAGACAAUUCGAAUGGGUCUUCGGCGGAGACCACGUCGAGUCGAGGAGGAGACUUCGAGACGAAGCUCGAGACGGACCGCAGCAAAAGGUUCGACUAUUUGCUCAAACAAACGGAAAUCUUCUCCCAUUUCAUGACUAACAACCAAAAGGACAAAGCUGGUAGUCCGUUGAAAAUCAAGGCUGGCAGGCCCAGGAAGCAACCUGCCGAGGCCCCAGUUAAGGCAGACACUGUUGAUCACAGGCAUCGUAAGACCGAGCAGGAAGAAGAUGAAGAAUUGCUUGCAGAAAGCAAUGCCAGCGUUGCUCCGACAACUCGAUUCGAAUCCUCCCCUCAUUACAUAAAGUCCGGUGAACUCCGGGAUUACCAAAUCCGAGGCUUGAAUUGGAUGAUAUCGUUGUAUGAGAAUGGAAUCAACGGUAUCUUGGCCGACGAGAUGGGUCUCGGCAAAACGUUGCAGACGAUAUCGCUUUUAGGUUAUAUGAAGCACUUUCGAAGCAUUCCUGGGCCGCAUAUCGUUAUCGUGCCAAAGUCUACACUUGCUAAUUGGAUGAAUGAGUUUAAAAAGUGGUGUCCCAGUUUGCGAGCGGUGUGUCUCAUCGGGGAUGCCGAGACUAGGAAUACCUUCAUUCGAGAUGUCAUGAUGCCGGGAGAGUGGGAUGUCUGCGUCACUUCCUAUGAAAUGGUCAUUAAAGAGAAAUCCGUAUUUAAGAAGUUCAACUGGCGUUACAUGGUAAUCGACGAAGCCCACAGGAUAAAAAAUGAGAAAUCGAAGCUCUCGGAAAUUCUAAGGGAGUUCAAAACAGCAAAUAGGUUGCUGUUGACCGGUACUCCGUUGCAGAAUAACCUCCACGAGUUGUGGUCUCUGUUGAAUUUCCUCCUCCCUGAUGUGUUUAACAGUUCGGAUGAUUUCGAUUCAUGGUUUAAUACAAACAGUUUUUUAGGUGACAAUUCUCUUGUGGAGAGAUUGCAUGCCGUUCUUAGACCAUUCCUCCUCAGACGUUUAAAGUCCGAAGUAGAGAAAGGUCUCAAGCCGAAGAAGGAAAUUAAGGUUUACAUAGGUCUGAGUAAAAUGCAAAGAGAGUGGUACACGAAAGUGUUAAUGAAGGACAUCGAUAUAGUGAACGGGGCUGGAAAAAUUGAAAAAAUGAGGCUCCAAAACAUUUUGAUGCAGCUGCGCAAAUGUUGCAACCAUCCGUACCUGUUCGAUGGCGCCGAGCCUGGUCCUCCGUACACAACCGAUGAACAUUUAGUGUACAAUUGCGGUAAAAUGGUGAUUCUGGACAAAUUAUUGCCGAAACUUCAACAGCAGGAGUCGCGAGUACUGAUUUUCAGUCAGAUGACUAGAAUGUUGGACAUUUUAGAAGAUUAUUGCCAUUGGAGGGCCUUCCAGUAUUGUCGAUUGGAUGGCAACACAGCUCAUGAGGAUCGUCAACGUCAAAUCAACGAAUACAAUGCUCCGGGCAGUGAAAAAUUCAUUUUCAUGCUUUCGACUCGUGCAGGCGGUCUUGGAAUUAAUCUCGCAACUGCAGAUGUAGUUAUAAUCUACGAUUCCGAUUGGAAUCCACAAAUGGACUUGCAAGCCAUGGAUCGAGCCCAUCGAAUCGGUCAACAAAAACAAGUUCGUGUGUUCAGGUUCAUCACAGAGAACACCGUAGAAGAGAAAAUCGUCGAACGAGCAGAAGUAAAGCUUCGUUUGGAUAAAUUGGUAAUUCAGCAAGGAAGAUUAGUGGAUGCAAAACAGACAGCCCUGAACAAAGACGAGAUGUUGAACAUGAUCAGGCACGGAGCGAACGAGGUGUUCGCCUCUAAAGAUAGCGCCAUAACAGAUGAAGACAUUGACACUAUCUUGCAAAAAGGAGAGGCAAAAACAGAGGAGAUGAAGCAGAAACUGGAGAGUUUAGGAGAGUCCUCGUUAAGGAAUUUUACAGUGGAUGCUCCGACAGAUUCGGUGUAUCAGUUCGAAGGGGAAGAUUAUAGAGAAAAGCAGAAGAUCUUAGGACUGGGGAAUUGGAUAGAGCCACCAAAGCGAGAGAGGAAAGCCAACUAUGCUGUCGAUGCAUACUUCAGAGAAGCAUUGAGGGUUUCGGAGCCCAAGGCACCGAAGGCACCACGACCACCGAAGCAACCCAUUGUUCAAGAUUUCCAAUUCUUCCCUCCGCGGUUAUUCGAGCUACUCGAUCAGGAAAUCUAUUAUUUCAGGCAGACAGUUGGUUACAAGGUUCCGAAGAAUCCAGAGCUGGGAUCGGAUGCAGCAAGGAUUCAAAAGGAGGAACAGAGGAAGAUAGACGAUGCUCAGCCAUUGACCGACGAGGAGAUCGCGGAGAAGGAAAAGCUGCUUACUCAGGGCUUUACUAAUUGGACGAAACGGGAUUUCAAUCAGUUCAUAAAAGCCAAUGAGAAAUAUGGCCGCGACGAUAUAGAAAACAUUGCGAAGGACGUGGAAGGUAAGACACCCGAAGAGGUGAUGGAGUAUUCGGCAGUGUUCUGGGAACGUUGUCAUGAACUCCAGGAUAUUGAUAGAGUAAUGGCUCAGAUUGAACGUGGAGAAGCUAAAAUCCAGAGGCGAGCUGGAAUCAAGAAAGCUCUCGAUGCAAAGAUGGCCAGAUAUAGGGCACCGUUUCAUCAACUUAGGAUAGCUUACGGUACGAAUAAAGGAAAGAACUACACCGAAGAAGAAGAUAGGUUUUUGGUGUGCAUGCUGCACAAACUGGGCUUCGACAAAGAGAAUGUGUACGAAGAAUUAAGAGCAACGGUACGCUCUGCUCCACAGUUUCGGUUCGAUUGGUUUGUCAAGUCACGAACUGCUCUGGAAUUGCAGAGGAGGUGUAAUACAUUGAUCACUCUGAUAGAACGAGAAAAUCAAGAGCUGGAAGAAAGGGAGAGACAAGAGAGACGAAAGAAAGGUGGUUCGAUCGGAGUGAAGCCAGCAUCAAAGAGAAAGCAAGAGAACCUACCUGCGCCACAAGACAAACCGAGGAAAAAGAAGAAGUAAACAUCUAGAGAUCGAUUCCUUUCCUAUUAUGUAUUCUUAAUAUCAUAGGUCGUCUAUUCCAUCGACUAUCUUUAUUUCUCUCCGACAUUAAUUUAAUAACGCCGAUAAAUCCUUGUAAUAUUACCGAUCGUUCCAUCGCCACGAGAUCAUGAAUAAAUGUGAAUGCAUAAUAGUUUGAUGAUACGAGUCCCUUGCUCUCUUUAUUUAUCGAGCCUACAUGACAAGUUACCUAAGAUGUUAUCCAAUAGUUUGUAAUAUUGCAUGGUGAAAAAUAGGGUCUAACCGAGAAGUUAAUAUUUAAAAAAAUAAGGUCUAUGUCACUCUAUUUCCAAAAAAUUGAAGAAAAGGCAAAGGACGGUUUUCAUCGAUUUAUUUAACGCUACAUUCAUCGAAACUCGGAAGCGUUGGUUCCGACUGAGGAGAAAUAAAAAUAUAACGAGACGCUGUUCUUAAGGUCACAUCUCUUAAGAUACUAGUGGUAAUUUACGAUUAAUUACCAACAACUACGCGACAAUGGAAAAACUGAACUCGUAAAAAUCCUCGCUGUUCCUGUACAGCUUUACCUUUCAGUGCUGCAAACGUUCUUAACGAGCUUCCGACAUUACGAGUGCUCUAUAAAUAAAAAUACAUAUAUGUAAAAAAAAGCUCAAUAUAAAUAAUCAGAGGCUGCGUGCCAAGUAAAAUUGACGUAGCCAGUCAGAGAAGGAUAAAUAAGCCUGUAUCACUCAGAAGUAUCAGUUUCCGAGGACUUCACAUUGCUACUUAGAUUAGAAGAAUCCUUACAUACAAUUCUUCAAAUGUCACACACGCUUUAAAAGGUUUAAGCAAAUAAUUUCACCUUUACAAGGCAGUGCUGAUUAAUAAUCACCAAAUAAACUAACAUCUACUGUCGACUACUUGGACAAUGUGAAGACAAGGUAACAAAUCAACGAUGGAUUAUCAACAGCCAGUGUUUGCUACGUAAAAAAACACCCUUUGCACUGUGAUUUUCAACAAUUGUCGAUCUUAAUGUGGCACUAAACAUAGUUCCAUCGGAACCAUGUAAUACAAAUGAGGACAAUUUUUUUUCCACGUGUUGUCCUUUGUAAAUUAGAGGUUAGUUACAAUGCACAAAAUGAUACGCCAAUGAGAGGCUUCUCGAGUGGCUGCAAAAUAUGAACUCUAAGCGAUAUUCAAGAGGCAGCGUUGCUUUUUACAAGCUUUUUACAAUACCCUCGCCGAAGUUUAACACGCACGGAACUUAGCCAACAGAGGUUUGCAGAGUUUUAAACAGUUCUUCCUUAUUAUACAAUUUGCAUUCAGUUCUUAUUCUACGCAUCGAGGUGGUGCAUCCUAAUCUGUACACUUUAUUGGAAGUUAUCGUGAAUAAACGAACGAAAUUGCAAUUACUAUCUCAUGCUCUGCUCGUGAACACAGUUUAACGUUCUAUCAGUUUAUAAUAAAUUGCCGUGAGUAUAAUUGCGUAGAAAAGGAAGAGUGACAGUUUAACAUGAUUAUAAGUUAAGUCAGUGAAGAAAAAUGCAGUAACGGUACAUAUGAAUAUCAAAGUGAGGAACGCCACGUGAACAAACGUUUAACAAUAAGUGAUCUAAAUCUAAAUAAGAUUAAUUCACCGGAUAAUGUACUUGUUAAAGCUUACAAGGUAGCGGAACAAAUAUUUUAUACAACGAUCGCUUGAACGUAUUUGGAUUAAUAAUUUCGAUAAUUUGAAAUAUCACGGAACACUCCGAACUUUAGAUACAUACUUGACGGUUCUUUUAUUAUUAGCCAAAUUAGUACUUUUCCCAUAAAGAUGUGUUAUGAUUGAAUAUCUGUCCGAUGUGCACUCGUCAAGUUUGUGAAAUUAAAAGAACGACUGAACAGUA
Molecule: RNA transcript, 5760 nt
Organism: Orussus abietinus
Lineage: Eukaryota; Metazoa; Arthropoda; Insecta; Hymenoptera; Orussidae
Gene: Iswi
Gene name: chromatin-remodeling complex ATPase chain Iswi
Exons: 2
Source: RefSeq, a predicted model, not a curated record